CGGGGCGACCAUCUGGUCCCUGGGCGUACUGCUGUUCGAAAUGGUGUGCGGGUUCCUGCCAUUCGAAAACGAGCGUGACAUCGUGUUGGGGCAGCCCAUCUUCCCGCAGGAGAUCUCUCCAGAGUGCCAACAUCUCAUCCGCUGGUGUUUGUCCAAGCACCCCAUGGAUCGGCCAGUGCUGGAGCAGAUCUUCUACCACCCUUGGGUGUUGGGCAGGCAUUUCUGAUGCCUUGCCACAGCCUCUGCAGCACCCAGUUCCUAUGUCCCACGCAGGCAGGACUGAGGGCUGAGAAAUAAAACAACCCAAAAGCCA
Molecule: non-coding RNA, 313 nt
Organism: Cyanistes caeruleus (blue tit)
Lineage: Eukaryota; Metazoa; Chordata; Aves; Passeriformes; Paridae
Source: RefSeq, a predicted model, not a curated record